RNAcentral lists this long non-coding RNA (117 nucleotides) under Neogale vison (American mink). RNAcentral's name for it is "Neovison vison (American mink) KCNQ1 overlapping transcript 1 conserved region 3 (ENSNVIG00000007990.1)". It matches the Rfam family "KCNQ1 overlapping transcript 1 conserved region 3". Lineage: Eukaryota; Metazoa; Chordata; Mammalia; Carnivora; Mustelidae. The record is from RNAcentral.
AAACACGGCUUUGAAUUUGAAAGCCAGGACUUUUUUGCAAAAUAAUUCAAAAAGUUUGCUGAGCCUUAAACCUUCCCUGACAAUUCCUUCCUUCUGAAGUUAACUCGUUAAAGUUGC